Molecule: ribosomal RNA, 425 nt
Filed under: uncultured bacterium
Lineage: Bacteria
Description: bacterial SSU rRNA
Rfam family: Bacterial small subunit ribosomal RNA
Source: RNAcentral
GUAGGGAAUCUUGCGCAAUGGGCGAAAGCCUGACGCAGCCAUGCCGCGUGAAUGAUGAAGGUCUUAGGAUUGUAAAAUUCUUUCACCGGGGACGAUAAUGACGGUACCCGGAGAAGAAGCCCCGGCUAACUUCGUGCCAGCAGCCGCGGUAAUACGAAGGGGGCUAGCGUUGCUCGGAAUUACUGGGCGUAAAGGGCGCGUAGGCGGACAGUUUAGUCAGAGGUGAAAGCCCAGGGCUCAACCUUGGAAUUGCCUUUGAUACUGGCUGUCUUGAGUACGGGAGAGGUGAGUGGAACUCCGAGUGUAGAGGUGAAAUUCGUAGAUAUUCGGAAGAACACCAGUGGCGAAGGCGACUCACUGGCCCGUUACUGACGCUGAUGCGCGAAAGCGUGGGGAGCAAACAGGAUUAGAAACCCUAGUAGUCC